CGCCGUCGACCCCACGCCACGUAGAGGUGAAGAUACGCAGGACGUCCUCUAAAGCAACUUCCGUGGGUGCCAGGUUAUGGGCUGGGGGCGGUGCUGACCUUGAGAGAGCGGAGGAAGCGCAGGCGCAGCACAGUUUAAACUUGGUUUUGUGGGGGGACGAACAGCGUGACAAUUAAAGAAGAUGUAGGAAUCGUAAGUACUGACAGAAUAGCUGGAGGGACGGUGGGACUGGAAAAUAUUUUGUGAAACAGAUCCUGCUGAGGAUGAAUCCAGAACUUCCUGAAGGGUUCCGCUUCUGCUGUGUAGGGACAAGGUUGUAAAUAGACAAGCCACAGGGCACCUGCAAAUGGUAAGUGUGGUAGAGAGGAGCUGGAAUUGUCUGUUGGUGUAUCUGUGGGAAGCAGCUGCUAUCCUUGAGGAAGAAAAGAUGGAGAAGGUAAGUGGCUAUCAACCUGUCAGAGACAACAUUCUGUGAAGUUGUACUCUUUGAUUUCUGACACUGUGGUUCUUAAUGUCUGUCCUAAACCUGGCAGUCAUUGAGGUUCGCAAAGUAUCUCCUUCUAUGUGACAGUAAAACUGGAAUUACUAUCAGAAUGGAAUCCAUUCCUGCCAGAGUAAAACCAUGAAAAGAAAUCGCAGUUUUGAUUAUCUGCUUAUCAUUUUUAAUAGAUCACGGAGUUCGGUGUUCCUUAUUUGGUGUAUGGCAAGUUGAUAAAUAAUUCUUGAUUAAUAUCCUUUAAUGUUCUAUUUCACACAGUUUUCUCAAUUACAUGUGAAAAAUCUGUUAUAUAAGUAAUGCUAUUUAAUGAUUAAAAUGGAUAUAUGUUUUAA
RNAcentral lists this non-coding RNA (831 nucleotides) under Pongo abelii (Sumatran orangutan). The record is from RNAcentral. Lineage: Eukaryota; Metazoa; Chordata; Mammalia; Primates; Hominidae.